Molecule: long non-coding RNA, 3547 nt
Organism: Asterias rubens (European starfish)
Lineage: Eukaryota; Metazoa; Echinodermata; Asteroidea; Forcipulatida; Asteriidae
Exons: 3
Source: RefSeq, a predicted model, not a curated record
AGUGUCUUACCAACUAGACCACCGAGAUUGCCCGGUUUGUUUCUGUAGUUUAUUGUUUUAGGAGAUAUUGUCUGGCUUGAUGGAAAUGGGUAAACAUUUUGGGUGUCUGAAGGACCACUUGGUGUCUGUGGGUGUUUGGAAAUGGUUGUAGAAUUCAUUGAGGUGUAUUGGCUGAACCAAAGGAGAUGGUAUUCGCAGGUGCCUGCAGGAAUCAAAGAUAGUGUUUUGAGGAUUGCCUACGUAACAUCCUGGAAGCCGUGGACCAUCUUCUGACAAAGAGGGCAGUAACACUCGGGUGUAUUGAGCCAGGUGAGAUGGAGUCCAGCUUCGUUGAUGAUGGGGGCUCCCAUAGCUCCUCACCCCCAUGCACACCAGAGGAAAUCCUCAUUCCAUUCCAUGCCCUCCAUGGACAUGAACAACGACUCUUCAGCUCUCCAGAUGAUCUCUACACAUGCCGGAAUAAGUCAUCAGAGUUCAACGAGGAACCAAGUCAAAUGAGCAGGGAACAGAUGCUGCAGUCCAAACAAAAGUCUAAAGGAGUCGGUAAAAGAUCCGAUGCAUGCUUACAAACCGUUCUAGGACUCCUCGACUGAUAGGAAAGAUCUAAAUUCGGGGAAAGGGUUCCGCCACCUCCCUCCAUGUUUGCCAGCGAGCUGAAUUGUCUCUCGGGUGGGUGGCCGACGAGGGGGGAAACCGGGCCGGAUAUCUACGAGACGGGUGCGGGGACAGCGGGGAGAACACCUGUUUCUCAUUGGAGAUUCCGCGAGUGAGUCUCGUCGGUGGGGAUAUCGUUGACGAAGAUGAGGAGUCCGUCCCCCACUGUGAGUUCUCGUCUAGAUUCUCGCUGCUGUGUCGCCCGCGUUUGUUCUUUGCACCAGCUGUAACGACAACGCUGCCCCGGUCUGGCUGCGACGACACUGGAGUGCUCAGCCGGUCCUCACAACCUGUCCUUGCAAUAAUUUGGGGCUGCUCGGGAAGCGGCUGUCGAUGAUGGGUGCCGCUCGAGGCAAAGACAUAGACCUUGCCAGGAAUUGAAUAUCAUAACGCGCACAAAUUCACUAAGCAGAACUGGGCAACUGAGUCGUACUGCAUUUGUACUGCUUUACGACCAGAUUCCCAGAUAGCUUAUUGCUUAGCAGAGAAAGUUGUCCAGAGGCAGCUUCAUCACCUGAAACAUCUUUGUACCUGAUUUUUGCUGUUUUAUAGUAAUCAUCGUUGAUGUUGUAAAAUCUUCAAAAUUUAAAUUAUUGUGUAAUUAUAAAUGGCCAAGCGAGGGAGACAUUUCUAGGAAAUUUUGUGAGCUUCAUUAUGAAGAAGAGAAAACAGUUGGGAAAAUGAAAAUGGUUGUCCAGAAAUAAGCGGUCCUCUUACACAAACGAAGGUUUUAGGCCGCAACAAAUUUGAGUUGUCGAAAUAGUCUACCUCUUUUUGAAGUCUCCAGUGACUUGGAGUGUGAACUCAACUUGAGAUUUGUUUCUCCAAUAUAAUUCUUGAAUCCAAUAUUGGCAACCACUAAAUUUUCCCUAAAAAGGAAUGUAAAAACCUGUUAUUUCACACACUUGAACCCUGUUUUUUAAUGUUUUUUGACCAUCAGUCAACAUGUGUAUUAGCCAAGGCAUGGAGUGAGCAAAAUGUGUAAUUGACUGAACAGAGGUGCAAGAACUUGUAACUUGUCUGCCUUUUAAUACACUUAGUUUGGGUUCAUUGGGCCAGUGUGCAACCUAUCAAGCUGCUAUCAGCAAUUUUGGUGAUGAGUUGAAUUUAUUUGUAAUGUCUGGUACCUGGUAGAUUACAAAUGAACACUCGGUUUGAAAUUCCUCAGAAUAUUGCUGCAUAAUGUAGAGCAAGUUUUGAAAUACCCAAAACACGAGGGUACCGAAGUACAUGUAUGACCAAUUUGAAGGUUGCAAAACACUACUGAAUAUGUGUCUGUAAUAUUAGGACCAAUGGGAGACUUAAGAUUGCUAGGUGGCAGCAAACACGAGGGUACUGAAGUACAUGUAUGACCAAUUUGAAGGUUGCAAAACACUACUGAAUAUGUGUCUGUAAUAUUAGGACCAAUGGGAGACUUAAGAUUGCUAGGUGGCAGCAAACACGAGGGUACCGAAGUACAUGUAUGACCAAUUUGAAGGUUGCAAAACACUACUGAAUAUGUGUCUGUAAUAUUAGGACCAAUGGGAGACUUAAGAUUGCUAGGUGGCAGCAAACACGAGGGUACCAAAGAACAUGCAUGACCAAUUUGAAGGUUGCAAAACACUACUGAACAUGUGUCUGUAAUAUUAGGACCAAUGGGAGACUUAAGAUUGCUAGGUGGCAGCAAACACGAGUGUACUGAAGUACAUGUAUGACCAAUUUGAAGGUUGCAAAACACUACUGAAUAUGUGUCUGUAAUAUUAGGACCAAUGGGAGACUUAAGAAUGCUAGGUGGCAGCAGACUAACCAGUCAAAUGGCCAUUGUUUAUGUAGUUUUGAGCAUGUGCCCAUUACCAAGAACAAUGAAUUUACCUGGGCAUACUCCUAAGUGAUCUUUUUAUUUUGGUUGUGAAACCCUGCGCUGAAGUGUCCUAAGCACUGUAUUCUUGGUACUUUCUGAUUCUUUGCUGAAAAAGAACUCCACAGGCAAACUUGUUUAUUAUUAAUACCCACUUAUUUUUGCUUAGCAGUGUACAUGAGGCUAAGUGGCUCUAUGUGAUCACUCCCAGGUCAUACAUAGUUAUUAGGUCGGAAGUUUUAUCAAUCAAAAUUAAACUGCCAUGAUAUGAAAGAACAGAUGUUCACUCUCAAAAGAAAAUGCCUAGUUUGGGGGAUUUCUGUUUGUUUUUUGUUUUCACGUUUGAGCUGGAAAGUUUGGGACAAAAAAGUAAUAUGAGUUGAAUGUGAGUAUGUGACCAAUUGGAGAUGUUUGGAUGGUCCUUUUGUAACAGCUCUUGCGUGUAGUGCACAUGCUCAUACCUAUGCGCGCCAAUACUGAGCUGCAAAAAAAAGGGACUGUUAAGUCUGCUGCCAUCAGCGUCUUUAAAGUCUUUGGAAGGCAACUGUCUUAAACUUAUAGUGUUGUAUACUGCAUGGCUCUCAUCGAAUAACUGGUUCUGUAGAAAUGUACUGCAGUAUCAUUUCCAUGGUUUUAUUUUUACUGAUUUCCUUGGUACUGUUUAGGAGAGAAUCUGACCAAGGACCUCAUUCAAUCUGAGAGUCCCUGAUCAGAUAGUUUUCUACUCAAUAGUAAAACUGUAUAUCUCGCCAAUAUGUACACAGAUAUCUUUUUAAAACCCAACAAAUGGUAAUGACAGAUAAUCAGCAUUUUCUGAAAGAGUUAGCCUGGAUGGUUCUGAAUUCCUGCGAAUGCGAAUGCACUAAGAAUUUUGACAGUGAAUAGUUCGCAACACUUGAGCUGUGUUCAACUCUUGCAGUAUAUUCACUGCGAAAACAGCCCUUUGGUGUCGAUAUUUGCUCUGCAUUGGCAGGAAGUAUGAACUAGGCUUUAGACAUGCCCAUCAGCCCCAUCAGGAGACGUUUAAUAAGAUUAUUUAUGAAUAUCUAAAUAUCA